AUACGUAGGGGGCGAGCGUUGUCCGGAAUGAUUGGGCGUAAAGGGCGCGUAGGCGGCCCGGUAAGUCUGGAGUGAAAGUCCUGUUUUUAAGAUGGGAAUUGCUUUGGAUACUGUCGGGCUUGAGUGCAGGAGAGGUAAGUGGAAUUCCCAGUGUAGCGGUGAAAUGCGUAGAGAUUGGGAGGAACACCAGUGGCGAAGGCGACUUACUGGACUGUAACUGACGCUGAGGCGCGAAAGUGUGGGGAGCAAACAGGAUUAGAUACCCUGGUAGUCCACACUGUAAACGAUGAAUGCUAGGUGUAGGGGGUAUCGACCCCUUCUGUGCCGCAGUCAACACAAUAAGCAUUCCGCCUGGGGAGUACGGCCGCAAGGUUGAAACUCAGUGGAAUUUUCGGGG
RNAcentral lists this ribosomal RNA (397 nucleotides) under uncultured bacterium. RNAcentral describes it as "partial 16S ribosomal RNA". It matches the Rfam family "Bacterial small subunit ribosomal RNA", at positions 523 to 918 of the family's 1533-position model. The record is from RNAcentral.